GACGAACGCUGGCGGCGUGCCUAAUACAUGCAAGUAGAACGCAGUUGCGAACGGGUGAGUAACGCGUAGGUUAAUGCCUCAUAGCGGGGGAUAAAUAUUGGAAACGAUAGCUAAUACCGCACACUGUAAGCUGGAACUGCGUUGUAUUAGCUAGUUGGUGGGGAAAAGGCUCACCAGGGCGACGAUACAUAGCCGACCUGAGAGGUUGAUCGGCCACAUUGGGACUGAGACACGGCCCAGACUCCUACGGGAGGCAGCAGUAGGGAAUCUUCGGCAAUGGACGGAAGUCUGACCGAGCAACGCCGCGUGAGUGAAGAAGGUUUUCGGAUCGUAAAGCUCUGUUGUUAGAGAGGCGGUACCUAACCAGAAAGGGACGGCUAACUACGUGCCAGUAGCCGCGGUAAUAC
RNAcentral lists this ribosomal RNA (407 nucleotides) under uncultured bacterium. RNAcentral describes it as "partial 16S ribosomal RNA". It matches the Rfam family "Bacterial small subunit ribosomal RNA", at positions 28 to 526 of the family's 1533-position model. The record is from RNAcentral.